GACUCAUUGUGAAACCCAAGCUGCAGAAAACUGACAGCAGGAACAGAGAAUGCUGACCUAGUUUGCCAGAACAAAGAGGAAGGACUGCAACUCUAGAGCUGAGGCAUGGAUCGGGAGACGCAUCAAGCAGCUAAGAUUGGCAGUGCAUGCACCAGAAGAAUACGUGAUGUGAAGGCAGCCCAACUUCUGAUUCCAAGGGUCCAGGAGAGAUGCAUGGCCACCUGAAAGAUCCAGGGGACAUGGCAAAAAGAACCUGAAUUCAUCAUGAGGAAGGAACCCAUCACAAGGAAGCAACCUAUGAAGGCAGCCAUUAGGCAAGGGACAUCUGAGAUGGGCACUGCAAGCAUGUUCAAGAAAACACCUCUUCUGCCAGCUAGAGGCUCCCCCGCCCAGUGGAGGAGGAAUCAAAUUCCACCAUCUUUAAUCUGGCUACACCAUAUUUGAAUAAUAAUCCUGAAAUUCACAUUGAUGCUCAAGAAGUCGCUUCUUCAAAACUUUAAGGUAACAAUUAAGUAUUCCAUUGUCAUGGCUCAAUUAAAUGGUUUGGCCUGAGAAAAUUGGGGAUUGUAAAGUGAGGAUGGAAUGUGCUUUGAUCCUUUUUCCAGGGUUAUUGUUUCAUUAAUAAAUGAACAUGUCAUUUGUCUCA
RNAcentral lists this long non-coding RNA (646 nucleotides) under Homo sapiens (human). RNAcentral describes it as "novel transcript". The record is from RNAcentral. Lineage: Eukaryota; Metazoa; Chordata; Mammalia; Primates; Hominidae.